RNAcentral lists this long non-coding RNA (1751 nucleotides) under Gallus gallus (chicken). RNAcentral describes it as "lncRNA (ENSGALG00010007012.1)". Lineage: Eukaryota; Metazoa; Chordata; Aves; Galliformes; Phasianidae. The record is from RNAcentral.
CGUUGUUGUUCUUGACCUGUCACCUAGAUUUCUGCCCGAUGUUUCUGUCUCUGUGGAGGUUCUUUCCGUUCUUUUCGUUGCUGUUCUUGACCUGUCACCUAGUUCUCUGCCGUAUGUUUCUGUCUCUGUGGAGGUUCUUUCCGUUCUUUCCGUUGCUGUUCUUGACCUGUCACCUAGUUCUCUGCCGUAUGUUUCUGUCUCUGUGGAGGUUCUUUCCGUUCUUUCCGUUGUUGUUCUUGACCUGUCACCUAGUUUUCUGCCCUAUGUUUCUGUCUCUGUGGAGGUUCUUUCCGUUCUUUCCGUUGCUGUUCUUGACCUGUCACCUAGUUUUCUGCCCUAUGUUUCUGUCUCUGUGGAGGUUCUUUCCGUUCUUUCCGUUGCUGUUCUUGACCUGUCACCUAGUUCUCUGCCGUAUGUUUCUGUCUCUGUGGAGGUUCUUUCCGUUCUUUCCGUUGUUGUUCUUGACCUGUCACCUAGUUCUCUGCCGUAUGUUUCUGUCUCUGUGGAGGUUCUUUCCGUUCUUUCCGUUGUUGUUUUUCAACUGUCACCUAAUUUUCUGCCCUAUGUUUCUGUCUCUGUGGAGGUUCUUUCCGUUCUUUCCGUUCUUUCUGUUGUUGUUUUUGAACUGUCACCUAAUUUUCUGCCCUAUGUUUCUGUCUCUGUGGAGGUUCUAUCCGUGCUUUCCGUUGUUGUUUUUCAACUGUCACCUAGUUCUCUGCCGUAUGUUUCUGUCUCUGUGGAGGUUCUUUCCGUUCUUUCAGUUGUUGUUUUUCAACUGUCACCUAAUUUUCUGCCCUGUGUUUCUGUCUCUGUGGAGGUUCUUUCCGUUCUUUCCGUUCUUUCCGUUCUUUCCGUUCUUUCCGUUCUUUUUGAACUGUCACCUAAUAUUCUGCCCAAUGUUUCUGUCUCUGUGGAGGUUCUUUCCGUUCUUUCCGUUCUUUCCGUUCUUUCCGUUCUUCCCGUUCUUUCCGUUCUUGCCGUUCUUUCCGUUGUUGUUUUUGAACUGUCACCUAAUUUUCUGCCCUAUGUUUCUGUGUCUGUGGAGGUUCUUUCCGUUCUUUCCGUUCUUUCCGUUCUUUCCGUUCUUUCCGUUCUUUCCGUUCUUUCCGUUGUUGUUUUUGACAUGUCACCUAAUUUUCUGCCCUAUGUUUCUGUCUCUGUGGAGGUUCUUUCCGUUCUUUCCGUUCUUUCCGUUCUUUCUGUUGUUGUUUUUGAACUGUCACCUAAUUUUCUGCCCUAUGUUUCUGUCUCUGUGGAGGUUCUUUCCGUUCUUUCCGUUCUUUCCGUUCUUUUUGUUGUUUUUGAACUGUCACCUAAUUUUCUGCCCUAUGUUUCUGUCUCUGUGGAGGUUCUUUCCGUUCUUUCCGUUCUUUCCGUUCUUUCCGUUCUUUCCGUUCUUUCCGUUCUUUCUGUUGUUGUUUUUGAACUGUCACCAAAUUUUCUGCCCAAUGUUUCUGUCUCUGUGGAGGUUUUUCCGUUCUUUCCGUUCUUUCCGUUCUUUCCGUUCUUUUUGAACUGCCUCCUAAUUUUCUGCCCUAUGUUUCUGUCUCUGUGAAGGUUCUUUCCGUUCUUUCCGUUCUUUCUGUAGUUGUUUUUGAACUGUCACCUAAUUUUCUGCCUUAUGUUUCUGUCUCUGUGGAGGUUCUUUCCGUUCUUUCCGUUCUUUCUGUUGUUGUUUUUGAACUGUCACCUAAUUUUCUGUUCUAUGUUUCUGUCUCUGUGGAGGUUCUUUCCGUUCUUUCCGUUCUUUC